Molecule: long non-coding RNA, 1081 nt
Filed under: Bemisia tabaci
Lineage: Eukaryota; Metazoa; Arthropoda; Insecta; Hemiptera; Aleyrodidae
Description: lncRNA ENSSSA2NGG006110
Source: RNAcentral
CUUGCAACUUUGAGACGGAAGUUUAUUUCCGGUUCCGGUUGUCCGUCGCCAUGUUCACUUUGUUUCCGUUUCCUGUCAAUGGCUUGGUCAAUGGCCGCUAUAGUCAGUGAUGCCAGGCGUACGGAUUUAUCCGUGCCGCGCGGACAUUCCCUAUACCGACACGGACCGCGUACGGACAAAAACCUUAUGGGGAAAAACGCUUCCCUAUCUUAAAAUAUCCGUACGCGUGACGUCACAGAAUGACGCUCAGCCAAUAGCAGCACGGAGAGCGGUAGAGCGUACGGAUCUCGCACACGGAGCACCCGGGAACACUGGCUAUAGUUUCUUGAACAACUGUUGUUGUUGAUAACGAGCCAUGUGGUCACGCAGACGUGCCGUAGUUUAGAUUGCAAGGUUUGUGGAUUUUCUUUUAAUUCUGUGCGUUUUUUUCACUCUAAUUUCUGGGAAAUUUGAGUCUGGCAAGGAAUUUGAAGUCUGUGGAUGGGGAUUCCGCGUCGCAAUGGCCGGAGACACCGAUAAUAUCUGCCUCAACAUCGGAGCACGCACACUAGAUCCAGAGGUCUCAAAAUAUUUUCAAAGGCCCUCCGAAUCCAAAGGGACAGGUGCUUCGAAGACAACCAGAGUUAGUGCGAAGAGCGAUAUCAAGCGCAAAGUUAACCCUGCUGUGAAGAAAGUUAACUCAGCCUUAAUUCAAAGGAGUUCAAAUGUGAAACCUAAGUUCGUGAAACCAGCAGAUGAGUCUCACAAAGAGAAGCAUCUCCUCUCUGCUGGAUCUAACAAGCCGAAGAAAGGAGAAACUAAUUCUGGAAAUGAAAUUGGGCAGGGUUCAAAGAAAGUUUCUACUAACACUUAUGGGCCUACUUCAUCCCUCUUCCGGAAAAAUCCAGAAGUCCCUCAGGUGGAGAACAAAUCCAUCAAACCGAAAAAUGAAGCCGUAUUUUCCUCGAAGUUUUUCAAGGAUGUUGCUGAAUUGCACCCUCAUACAGUAAGUUGUGGUUCUUUCCACCAACUUUUUUUUAUAAAGGAAGCCACCUCAUUGCCUUGCAUUUUUCGAAGAAUUUACCCUUGGUUGUGACCGUUA